AUUACACUGGAACUGCAGUAGCACCUGUAACAGGUGAAUUUUCAAGCAAUUUCCUACUCUAAACUCACAUUUUUGAGGUUUCCAGAAAUAUUUAUGCUUUGGCUUAACAGUUUAAGCAUAGUCCCAAAGCUGCCUUGUUGAUUUAAGUGGAUGCUGUUAAUAUUAUUUCUGUGCUGUGUGUGGGUAAGAAGCCCUGAGUAGACCCAGAAGUUGGCAGGCUGGGGUGAGGCCACAGUGAAGGACUCUGGAGAGCCAGCCUGUGGAUUAAUAGAGCAAGAGUCGCCCUUGGCAAAGCCAACAAUUGUUGAGUGAUAUAUGAACUAGACAAGUAAGAAGCAAAAUCAUUAUUUUCACUAUUUCAAGUCAAAUACAGUUCAGCAGGAAUAAACCAACAUGCAGAGGUCAGGCUGUCUGAGAGAUGAUGGGAGCCCCACCCUCAGCAACUGGACACUUACACACAUGCUAUCUUGGCUGUGCUAGUCACUUCUGCUAGGACACCUUGUGUUGCAUCCUGGGGUAGAGAACAAAAGCAAACGCUGCAACCUUGGAACAGAUUUUUUUGGAAAGAACUGGAAAAAGGAGGGGCUGCAACUGCCAUAAAUGCCUGCUUCACCUUACAGAUUAUCCUGAAACAACAGCUGGCAGACGUGCUGACAAAAGCAGCCCUGUCUCAGGAAAGACUUCUCUCCAGAAAAGAUUGAGAUCUCAAAAUUCAAUUUUCAAAUAAUUUUAAAAGCUCACAAAGAGCAGAAAACAUCAGCCUUUGUGGUGCAGAAGUGCAGGGUCUCAGAACAGAGGUGACUUGACCAUGGCACAUAUUGAUUUUGAUGUCUAUGAAUUCUCCAGGCCCCAAAGAUCCACGCAGUUUAGACAUGAGUUGCCAGACGUGAGCUGGUACAUGGUGGGACACCAGCUGCUUCGCUGUCCAUCACCAGUUGUGAUGUCCUGUUGUGAAAAUACCUUCUCACCGAGCCACGCGUGUGCUCUUACAGUGCACAUUAAACAAUUCAUGCUGG
Long non-coding RNA from Vidua macroura (Pin-tailed whydah), 1016 nucleotides. RefSeq lists it as uncharacterized. NCBI's taxonomy places the organism in Eukaryota, Metazoa, Chordata, Aves, Passeriformes, Viduidae. The record is from RefSeq and is a predicted model, not a curated record. The transcript is spliced from 3 exons.